UAAUACAGAGGGUGCAAGCGUUAAUCGGAGUUACUGGGCGUAAAGGGCGCGUAGGCGGUUAGAUGUGUGAGAUGUGAAAUCCCUGGGCUUAACCUAGGAACUGCAUCUUAAACUGUCUGACUGGAGUACUGUAGAGGGUAGUGGAAUUUCCGGUGUAGCGGUGAAAUGCGUAGAGAUCGGAAGGAACACCAGUGGCGAAGGCGGCUACCUGGACAGAUACUGACGCUGAGGCGCGAGAGCGUGGGGAGCAAACAGGAUUAGAUACCCUGGUAGUCCACGCUGUAAACGAUGAGAACUAGAUGUUGGCCAGCUUGACUGGUUAGUAUCGAAGCUAACGCGAUAAGUUCUCCGCCUGGGGAGUACGGCCGCAAGGUUA
This 376-nucleotide ribosomal RNA is filed under the name uncultured bacterium. Its description in RNAcentral is "bacterial SSU rRNA". It matches the Rfam family "Bacterial small subunit ribosomal RNA", at positions 521 to 896 of the family's 1533-position model. The record is from RNAcentral.